Molecule: long non-coding RNA, 1101 nt
Organism: Pan troglodytes (chimpanzee)
Lineage: Eukaryota; Metazoa; Chordata; Mammalia; Primates; Hominidae
Exons: 3
Source: RefSeq, a predicted model, not a curated record
GAGAUGAAGAAGCCAGCAACCUGGAAUUGCCAUCAAAUGCUGACACAAAAGUUCCUACAAAAGCCAAGGAAAAGGGGAAUCUAGCAAACCAGAAAACUUUUACACAACUACCACUCUACUUCAACAAAUAUCACAGCCUGACACCCUCACCAGAGGAAAAGCAGCCUGCAGAACGGCCAUCCAGGCUGGGUGCAUUCCUAGGAUGUGAUUUCCUUCAGUGUGGAGUAAACCCUGCCUUUUACCCACCAACACCAGCAAGGAAGUAUAGAAGACCAGUACCAUUUACUCAAGGAAUGUCCAUCUUUCAUUUGGAAUGCCUUAAGACUUCCAGGAAGAGCAUGCUAUCACUACAUCAAUUGGAGGUGAGAGAGGACAUCAGUUGGAGGGGACUGUUAGUUUAUGGACAAUGAUGUUGAAAGCCUUGAGAAGGUGCAGAAAAGAUAGGUAAGGCCAUCCCCAGAAAACUGCCUGAUAUGGUAUGGAGUCUGCAGAGGGCAGAAGGUGACCGCCCUAGGUCCCUGCCAUGGGGGAGUGGGGGCAUAGGGUAAAGGAUACCUACCGACACCCCCCCCCCCAGUGCCUUGGAGCUAUAGAUGAGAAGGGCCUGUGGUCAGUUGAGAGUCAACAGAUGGGCCCAAACUUGGCUCAGAAUGCAAAAGUAGGCAGUGGACUGUUGGAAUCCAAAUCCCUGCACUCCUCACUUCCAAUGUGACUCACCCCAAACUAACUACUGUUCCUUACAGCUCAAUCUUACCCAAUCCCGCAAAAGAAAUACCAUACUGGCCAACAGGAACUACCUGUUUGGGGCAGGAGGGAAAGGUGUACAGAGCAGGCACUGAAUGCAGCCUUAGGAAAUUUCUAGGAAGACACUUUCAGCAACCGGGACCCACACGUGACCAAGUGCCUUGCUUGGAUGCCCUGGCCAGUCCCAGUCACUGGAGAGGGUAUUUCUUCAAGGAAGAUACUGCAAUGCACUGGGGAUGGGUGGUCCUCAGACACAAGACCUGGACAGGAGGGAAGCUUUCCUGGGUCCAAGAGUGGUACUAAAAUUUGUGGUCAAAUGCAGGGUUUGGAAGAAGCUGGAAGGAAACCUGGAGCCCU